RNAcentral lists this ribosomal RNA (439 nucleotides) under uncultured bacterium. Its description in RNAcentral is "partial 16S ribosomal RNA". It matches the Rfam family "Bacterial small subunit ribosomal RNA", at positions 339 to 795 of the family's 1533-position model. The record is from RNAcentral.
CUACGGGUUGCUGCAGUGAGGAAUAUUGCACAAUGGGGGGAACCCUGAUGCAGCAACGCCGCGUGGAGGAUGACGCAUUUCGGUGUGUAAACUCCUUUUAUAUGUCAAGAAAAUGACGGUAGCAUAUGAAUAAGCACCGGCUAACUCCGUGCCAGCAGCCGCGGUAAUACGGAUGGUGCAAGCGUUACUCGGAAUCACUGGGCGUAAAGGACGCGUAGGCGGGUUGGAAAGUCAGGUGUGAAAUCCUACAGCUUAACUGUAGAACUGCACUUGAAACUUCUAAUCUAGAGUAUGGGAGGGGGAGAUGGAAUUAGUGGUGUAGGGGUAAAAUCCGUAGAUAUCACUAGGAAUACCUAAAGCGAAGGCGAUCUCCUGGAACAUUACUGACGCUGAGGCUCGAAAGCGUGGGGAGCAAACAGGAUUAGAUACCCCCGUAGUC